UACGUAGGGGGCGAGCGUUGUCCGGAUUUAUUGGGCGUAAAGAGCGUGUAGGCGGCCAGGUAGGUCUGCUGUGAAAACUCGAGGCUCAACCUCGAGACGUCGGCGGAAACCAUCUGGCUAGAGUCCGGAAGAGGAGAGUGGAAUUCCUGGUGUAGCGGUGAAAUGCGCAGAUAUCAGGAAGAACACCCGUGGCGAAGGCAGGUCUCUGGGCUGACACUGACGCUCAUGCACGAAAGCGUGGGGAGCAAACAGG
Molecule: ribosomal RNA, 253 nt
Filed under: uncultured bacterium
Lineage: Bacteria
Description: partial 16S ribosomal RNA
Rfam family: Bacterial small subunit ribosomal RNA
Source: RNAcentral